AUGCUCACUUGGGCAGCACAUACACUAAAAUUGGAAUGACACAGAGAUUAGCAUGGCCCCUGCAUGAGGAUGACAUACAAACCAAUGUACACCAUCAUAAAACU
Vulpes vulpes (red fox) is the source of this 104-nucleotide small nuclear RNA. The record is from Ensembl. NCBI's taxonomy places the organism in Eukaryota, Metazoa, Chordata, Mammalia, Carnivora, Canidae.